Molecule: ribosomal RNA, 450 nt
Filed under: uncultured bacterium
Lineage: Bacteria
Description: bacterial SSU rRNA
Rfam family: Bacterial small subunit ribosomal RNA
Source: RNAcentral
UCCCAGACUCCUACGGGAGGCAGCAGUGGGGAAUAUUGGGCAAUGGGCGCAAGCCUGACCCAGCAACGCCGCGUGAAGGAAGAAGGCUUUCGGGUUGUAAACUUCUUUUCUCAGGGACGAAUAGAUGACGGUACCUUAGGAAUAAGCCUCGGCUAACUACGUGCCAGCAGCCGCGGUAAUACGUAGGAGGCAAGCGUUAUCCGGAAUGACUGGGCGUAAAGGGUGCGUAGGUGGUUUGACAAGUUGGUAGCGUAACUCCGAGGCUUAACCUCGGCACUACUACCAAAACUGUUGGACUCGAGUGCAGGAGGGGCAAAUGGAAUUCCUAGUGUAGCGGUGGAAUGCGUAGAUAUUAGGAGGAACACCAGUGGCGAAGGCGAUUUGCUGGACUGUAACUGACACUGAGGCACGAAAGCGUGGGGAGCAAACAGGAUUAGAUACCCGUGUAUA